RNAcentral lists this long non-coding RNA (580 nucleotides) under Daphnia pulex (common water flea). RNAcentral's name for it is "uncharacterized LOC124196862, transcript variant X1". Lineage: Eukaryota; Metazoa; Arthropoda; Branchiopoda; Diplostraca; Daphniidae. The record is from RNAcentral.
UCUUCGUUUCGUGUUGAAUAUGGAAUUGGAUUAGAUAACACUUAAUAACAAGUGGUCCAAUCAAUUAGCAUCUUGAACAGAUCCCGGGAAGUCUAGCGAGCAGAACAUUGAAAAAAUAAAACUCAACUUUAUCAAACAGAUAGCUGAAAAGUCCCCGCCCAUUUUCCGGUGGCUCCAGUCGGUUUUCCGUCACACGGACCAUUUCGUACCUGGAAAUUAAAGGGAAGCUUUUAGAAAUACGCCCCCUUUAAGCGGCCCUGACAAACCCUUUGGGUUGCCAUGCCAACGAGGCUAGAAUGGUGAUGUGCCAGUUGCAGAUGACUCGCAGGUGUCGUCCGUUGAGGGAAUUCAAAGUCGGCGAUGCUGGAAAGGCACAACUCGAAACGGCCAACCAAACGAACAAAGGACAUGUCGUAUGCUGGAGAUAACGGACCACUAAACUGGGUUUAUCAAUAGUCGAAUGAGGAUCCGAAUCGAGGAGAUUCAGAAAGCGUCAACGACAAUAAGGUUAGCAAACUCUGCAUUUCUAACUAGAAUGAUAUUGUACUAUUUAUUUAAUUAAGUUCAAGCGGCUAGAUUG